CAUAUCCUUCAGUCACCGCCAUAGCUAAGUCACUGCUUGGACUCGAAGUUUGGUUCUCCCAUUUGGGAAUUUUGUUUUGGAGAAGUGUAGAAGCCACCUCUUCCAUCUUGAUAGUGCACUUUCCUACUAAAAGAGCAGUCACCAAAAACUCGAAAGAGGGAGGAAGGGAUGAUAGUAAGACCAACAUCCUGAUCUUCUCCUUAACU
RNAcentral lists this long non-coding RNA (206 nucleotides) under Elaeis guineensis (African oil palm). RNAcentral's name for it is "long non-coding RNA (EGUI_LNC029339)". Lineage: Eukaryota; Viridiplantae; Streptophyta; Magnoliopsida; Arecales; Arecaceae. The record is from RNAcentral.